GGGGAAUCUUGCACAAUGGGGGAAACCCUGAUGCAGCGACGCCGCGUGAACGAUGAAGCCCUUCGGGGUGUAAAGUUCUUUCGACGGGGACGAUAAUGACGGUACCCGGAGAGGAAGCUGCGGCUAACUACGUGCCAGCAGCCGCGGUAAUACGUAGGCAGCAAGCGUUGUUCGGAAUUACUGGGCGUAAAGAGUGCGUAGGUGGUUGGCCAAGUUUGGUGUGAAAUCUCCCGGCUUAACUGGGAGGGUGCGCCGAAAACUGGUUGACUAGAGUGUGGGAGAGGGACGUGGAAUUCCUGGUGUAGCGGUGAAAUGCGUAGAUAUCAGGAGGAACACCUGCGGUGUAGACGGCGUCCUGGACCAUGACUGACACUGAGGCACGAAAGCGUGGGGAGCAAACA
RNAcentral lists this ribosomal RNA (401 nucleotides) under uncultured bacterium. RNAcentral's name for it is "bacterial SSU rRNA". It matches the Rfam family "Bacterial small subunit ribosomal RNA", at positions 356 to 774 of the family's 1533-position model. The record is from RNAcentral.